This is a non-coding RNA of Acanthosepion pharaonis, 114 nucleotides long. NCBI's taxonomy places the organism in Eukaryota, Metazoa, Mollusca, Cephalopoda, Sepiida, Sepiidae. The record is from the annotation of a GenBank genome assembly.
AUACGACCAUGUCACGUUGAAACACCGGUUUGCGUAAUGAUCACUGAAGUUAAACAACGUCGAGCCUGGCCAGUACCUACAUGGGCGACCGCUUGGGAAUAGCAGAUGCUGUAA